GUACUUACCUAGACAGGGUCGAUGGGUGAUCAAGAAAGCCCAUGGUCUAGGGUGGCAACCUCCAUUGUACUUGCGAGGGGCGUGGCCUAAGGUCUGCCCAAGUGGCAGAGCCUAUGUCAUAAUUUAUUGUAGUGGGGACCUGCAUUCCCAUUGCCCCUGA
This is a small nuclear RNA of Cornus florida, 160 nucleotides long. RefSeq annotates it as U1 spliceosomal RNA. The record is from RefSeq and is a predicted model, not a curated record. Lineage: Eukaryota; Viridiplantae; Streptophyta; Magnoliopsida; Cornales; Cornaceae. The transcript has a single exon.